GUGGGGUCCGGAAGAUUUACAGCACAUUGGACUGGAGAUAAUGCUGCGACAUGGGAUGACUUGGCGUAUUCCAUUCCGAGUAUUUUGAAUUCCGGGUUAUUUGGGAUUCCGAUGGUGGGGGCUGAUAUUUGUGGUUUUUCUGGAGAUACUACUGAAGAACUCUGCCAGAGAUGGAUUCAGGUAAGUCUUGUAAAUUAGAGCAUUUUACUUUGAAAAAUUUACCUAAUUAUAGCAACUUGAUUACAAAUAAAUUCAAAUAGAAUACAAACAUCGGUUUGAUGAUUUGCAGUUGGGUGCUUUUUACCCAUUUGCAAGAGACCAUUCCGACAUACAAAGCACAAGACAAGAGCUUUACCUUUGGGAUUCAGUAGCAGCAACAUCUCGAAAAGUCCUCAGCCUUCGUUACCAAAUGCUCCCUUAUCUCUACAUGUUAAUGUACGAAGCCCAUUCAAAAGGCACUCCCAUCGCACGACCUCUCUUCUUCUCAUUCCCGGAAGACACCAAC
RNAcentral lists this long non-coding RNA (505 nucleotides) under Lactuca sativa (garden lettuce). RNAcentral describes it as "long non-coding RNA (LSAT_LNC004462)". Lineage: Eukaryota; Viridiplantae; Streptophyta; Magnoliopsida; Asterales; Asteraceae. The record is from RNAcentral.